AGAUUGAACGCUGGCGGCAUGCCUUACGCAUGCAAGUCGAACGGCAGCACGGGAGCAAUCCUGGUGGCGAGUGGCGAACGGGUGAGUAAUACAUCGGAACGUGCCCAAUCGUGGGGGAUAACGCAGCGAAAGCUGUGCUAAUACCGCAUAAGAUCUACGGAUGAAAGCAGGGGAUCGCAAGACCUUGCGCGAAUGGAGCGGCCGAUGGACAGAUUAGGUAGUUGGUGAAGGUAAAGGCUACACCAAG
Molecule: ribosomal RNA, 247 nt
Filed under: uncultured soil bacterium
Lineage: Bacteria
Description: partial 16S ribosomal RNA
Rfam family: Bacterial small subunit ribosomal RNA
Source: RNAcentral